CCUUCACCCUAGAGACAUUGCCAGUGUGACUGCUGUGUCACGUGUGUGUCAGUAGGUGGCAGAGAGGAAAGAGGCCUUGUCUAUGCUCAGUGUUGACCUAUAAGCUUCUGAAUGAUGAAUAGCCUUACUUG
Molecule: small nucleolar RNA, 131 nt
Organism: Meriones unguiculatus (Mongolian gerbil)
Lineage: Eukaryota; Metazoa; Chordata; Mammalia; Rodentia; Muridae
Source: Ensembl